UGCGCAAGCGGGGAAUCGAACCCGGGCCCCACCUUGGGAAGGAGGAAUUCUAGCCACUGAACUACUUGCGC
This 71-nucleotide transfer RNA is filed under the name Monosporozyma servazzii. RNAcentral describes it as "Kazachstania servazzii partial transfer RNA". Lineage: Eukaryota; Fungi; Ascomycota; Saccharomycetes; Saccharomycetales; Saccharomycetaceae. The record is from RNAcentral.